Molecule: ribosomal RNA, 494 nt
Filed under: uncultured bacterium
Lineage: Bacteria
Description: partial 16S ribosomal RNA
Rfam family: Bacterial small subunit ribosomal RNA
Source: RNAcentral
GACGAACGCUGGCGGCGUGCUUAACACAUGCAAGUCGAACGGAAAGGCCUGCUUUCCCUUGUGGAUUGCGGGUACUCGAGUGGCGAACGGGUGAGUAACACGUGAGUGAUCUGCCCCCAACUUGGGUAUAAGCCUGGGAAACUGGGUCUAAUUCCCGAUAGGACUGCAGGGUGGUGCCUGUGGUGGAAAACGAUUUUCUAGUGGUUGGGGAUGAGCUCGCGGCCUAUCAGCUUGUUGGUGGGGUAAUGGCCUACCAAGGCGGCGACGGGUAGCCGGCCUGAGAGGGUGGACGGCCACAUUGGGACUGAGAUACGGCCCAGACUCCUACGGGAGGCAGCAGUGGGGAAUAAUGCACGAUGGGCGGAAGCCUGAUGCAGCGACGCCGCGUGGGGGAUGACGGCCUUCGGGUGGUAAACUCCUUUCGACCGCGAGGAAGCCACCUGGUUGGAAGGGUGGUGACGGUAGUGGUAGAAGAAGCACCGGCUAACUACGUG